RNAcentral lists this ribosomal RNA (2788 nucleotides) under Escherichia coli. RNAcentral describes it as "bacterial LSU rRNA". It matches the Rfam family "Bacterial large subunit ribosomal RNA". Lineage: Bacteria; Pseudomonadati; Pseudomonadota; Gammaproteobacteria; Enterobacterales; Enterobacteriaceae. The record is from RNAcentral.
AGCGUACACGGUGGAUGCCCUGGCAGUCAGAGGCGAUGAAGGACGUGCUAAUCUGCGAUAAGCGUCGGUAAGGUGAUAUGAACCGUUAUAACCGGCGAUUUCCGAAUGGGGAAACCCAGUGUGAUUCGUCACACUAUCAUUAACUGAAUCCAUAGGUUAAUGAGGCGAACCGGGGGAACUGAAACAUCUAAGUACCCCGAGGAAAAGAAAUCAACCGAGAUUCCCCCAGUAGCGGCGAGCGAACGGGGAGGAGCCCAGAGCCUGAAUCAGUGUGUGUGUUAGUGGAAGCGUCUGGAAAGGCGCGCGAUACAGGGUGACAGCCCCGUACACAAAAAUGCACAUACUGUGAGCUCGAUGAGUAGGGCGGGACACGUGGUAUCCUGUCUGAAUAUGGGGGGACCAUCCUCCAAGGCUAAAUACUCCUGACUGACCGAUAGUGAACCAGUACCGUGAGGGAAAGGCGAAAAGAACCCCGGCGAGGGGAGUGAAAAAGAACCUGAAACCGUGUACGUACAAGCAGUGGGAGCACGCUUCGGCGUGUGACUGCGUACCUUUUGUAUAAUGGGUCAGCGACUUAUAUUCUGUAGCAAGGUUAACCGAAUAGGGGAGCCGAAGGGAAACCGAGUCUUAACUGGGCGUUAAGUUGCAGGGUAUAGACCCGAAACCCGGUGAUCUAGCCAUGGGCAGGUUGAAGGUUGGGUAACACUAACUGGAGGACCGAACCGACUAAUGUUGAAAAAUUAGCGGAUGACUUGUGGCUGGGGGUGAAAGGCCAAUCAAACCGGGAGAUAGCUGGUUCUCCCCGAAAGCUAUUUAGGUAGCGCCUCGUGAAUUCAUCUCCGGGGGUAGAGCACUGUUUCGGCAAGGGGGUCAUCCCGACUUACCAACCCGAUGCAAACUGCGAAUACCGGAGAAUGUUAUCACGGGAGACACACGGCGGGUGCUAACGUCCGUCGUGAAGAGGGAAACAACCCAGACCGCCAGCUAAGGUCCCAAAGUCAUGGUUAAGUGGGAAACGAUGUGGGAAGGCCCAGACAGCCAGGAUGUUGGCUUAGAAGCAGCCAUCAUUUAAAGAAAGCGUAAUAGCUCACUGGUCGAGUCGGCCUGCGCGGAAGAUGUAACGGGGCUAAACCAUGCACCGAAGCUGCGGCAGCGACACUAUGUGUUGUUGGGUAGGGGAGCGUUCUGUAAGCCUGCGAAGGUGUACUGUGAGGUAUGCUGGAGGUAUCAGAAGUGCGAAUGCUGACAUAAGUAACGAUAAAGCGGGUGAAAAGCCCGCUCGCCGGAAGACCAAGGGUUCCUGUCCAACGUUAAUCGGGGCAGGGUGAGUCGACCCCUAAGGCGAGGCCGAAAGGCGUAGUCGAUGGGAAACAGGUUAAUAUUCCUGUACUUGGUGUUACUGCGAAGGGGGGACGGAGAAGGCUAUGUUGGCCGGGCGACGGUUGUCCCGGUUUAAGCGUGUAGGCUGGUUUUCCAGGCAAAUCCGGAAAAUCAAGGCUGAGGCGUGAUGACGAGGCACUACGGUGCUGAAGCAACAAAUGCCCUGCUUCCAGGAAAAGCCUCUAAGCAUCAGGUAACAUCAAAUCGUACCCCAAACCGACACAGGUGGUCAGGUAGAGAAUACCAAGGCGCUUGAGAGAACUCGGGUGAAGGAACUAGGCAAAAUGGUGCCGUAACUUCGGGAGAAGGCACGCUGAUAUGUAGGUGAAGUCCCUCGCGGAUGGAGCUGAAAUCAGUCGAAGAUACCAGCUGGCUGCAACUGUUUAUUAAAAACACAGCACUGUGCAAACACGAAAGUGGACGUAUACGGUGUGACGCCUGCCCGGUGCCGGAAGGUUAAUUGAUGGGGUUAGCGGUAACGCGAAGCUCUUGAUCGAAGCCCCGGUAAACGGCGGCCGUAACUAUAACGGUCCUAAGGUAGCGAAAUUCCUUGUCGGGUAAGUUCCGACCUGCACGAAUGGCGUAAUGAUGGCCAGGCUGUCUCCACCCGAGACUCAGUGAAAUUGAACUCGCUGUGAAGAUGCAGUGUACCCGCGGCAAGACGGAAAGACCCCGUGAACCUUUACUAUAGCUUGACACUGAACAUUGAGCCUUGAUGUGUAGGAUAGGUGGGAGGCUUUGAAGUGUGGACGCCAGUCUGCAUGGAGCCGACCUUGAAAUACCACCCUUUAAUGUUUGAUGUUCUAACGUUGGCCCGUAAUCCGGGUUGCGGACAGUGUCUGGUGGGUAGUUUGACUGGGGCGGUCUCCUCCUAAAGAGUAACGGAGGAGCACGAAGGUUGGCUAAUCCUGGUCGGACAUCAGGAGGUUAGUGCAAUGGCAUAAGCCAGCUUGACUGCGAGCGUGACGGCGCGAGCAGGUGCGAAAGCAGGUCAUAGUGAUCCGGUGGUUCUGAAUGGAAGGGCCAUCGCUCAACGGAUAAAAGGUACUCCGGGGAUAACAGGCUGAUACCGCCCAAGAGUUCAUAUCGACGGCGGUGUUUGGCACCUCGAUGUCGGCUCAUCACAUCCUGGGGCUGAAGUAGGUCCCAAGGGUAUGGCUGUUCGCCAUUUAAAGUGGUACGCGAGCUGGGUUUAGAACGUCGUGAGACAGUUCGGUCCCUAUCUGCCGUGGGCGCUGGAGAACUGAGGGGGGCUGCUCCUAGUACGAGAGGACCGGAGUGGACGCAUCACUGGUGUUCGGGUUGUCAUGCCAAUGGCACUGCCCGGUAGCUAAAUGCGGAAGAGAUAAGUGCUGAAAGCAUCUAAGCACGAAACUUGCCCCGAGAUGAGUUCUCCCUGACUCCUUGA